AACGAACGCUGGCGGCAUGCCUAACACAUGCAAGUCGAACGAGACCUUCGGGUCUGGUGGCGCACGGGUGCGUAACGCGUGGGAACCUGCCCGUAGGCUCCGAAUAACUCCCCGAAGGGGGUGCUAAUACAGGGUAAUGUCUUCUGACAAAAGAUUCAUCGCCCUGGUAUGAGCCGGCGUUGGUUUAGCCUGUUGGUAGGGUAAAAGCCUACCAAGGCUUGGAUCCGUAGCUGGGUAGAGAGGAGGAUCAGCAACACUGGGAAUGAGACACGGUCCAGACUCCGGGGGGAGGCAGCAGUGGGGAAUAUUGGGGAAGGGGAGCAAGGGUGAUCCAGCCAUACCGGGUGGGUGAAGAAGGCCGUCGGGUUGGAAAGCCCUUUUGUUGGGAAAGAAAAGAAGCAGUUUAAUACCCCGCUGUUCUGACGGUACCCAAAGAAUAAGCACCGGCUAACUUCGUGC
RNAcentral lists this ribosomal RNA (459 nucleotides) under uncultured bacterium. RNAcentral's name for it is "partial 16S ribosomal RNA". It matches the Rfam family "Bacterial small subunit ribosomal RNA", at positions 29 to 508 of the family's 1533-position model. The record is from RNAcentral.